GAGGGUAUAGCUUAAGUGGUAGAGCUGUAUGCUUAGCAUACAGAAGGUCCUGGGUUCAAUCCCCAGUACCUCCU
This is a transfer RNA of Camelus ferus (Wild Bactrian camel), 74 nucleotides long. It matches the Rfam family "tRNA". From Rfam's summary of the family: Transfer RNA (tRNA) molecules are approximately 80 nucleotides in length. Their secondary structure includes four short double-helical elements and three loops (D, anti-codon, and T loops). NCBI's taxonomy places the organism in Eukaryota, Metazoa, Chordata, Mammalia, Artiodactyla, Camelidae. The record is from Rfam.